CAGUGAAAUCAACAAUGACUUGUGUCAGGAGAAAUCUUUAACUUAUUAUUUAUUACAAGAUACUCUAAUGUUUAAAGAGCAAUCCAACAUAAUUGAAGAGAAAAAACCCACCAAAGCCAGGGUCAGGUCACUUUUUUGAAGACAGUGCCACUUUUUCUUCAAGGUUACACCUACUACCUGAAAAAAGUCAUGAUACCCAGUGAUAUCUGCUGGAGACAGAAAUAUCAUCUAUGAGAUGGAGCCUUUUUGCUUGUAAUUGAAUGGAGCCAAGUUCUACAUUCUGAGUGACAAUGUGUGGAAGAAGAAGAGAGGACAGAGAAAUGAUUUCUUCGUGUGUUUUGUUCAGUGCCAUAUGUGAACAGCCCAGAAAAGUACCUGGCACAGACAAGCACUGACAGCUGUUCUGGAACAUGUGCGUUCUUCCUGCUUAUGUACCCAGUGACUCUUGUUACCAGGAAACCCACGGCAGUCAUGGAAAGGACUAUGGCCACCUGCUGCAUAACUGCUAUGUGCACAUGGGCUUUUGGUGCAGGAGCUGUCACCCACUAUGUCAUCCGAUGCUGUGGAUGCUGCCACUUCGGUGGGAGUUUGUCCUAGAUGAGGCGACUGGAGACAAUGGAGCAAUGAACAAUUUCCCUUUUUGAGAAAACUAAUUUCAACACCAUUGACAUACCCAGUAUUAAUACUAAAAAGCAAGCACUUCAGAUUAAUUUUUAACUGAAGUUGGAAAUCAGUAUGAAAUCUGGAACUAAGAGCAUUGAUAAAAUACAAACAGAAUUUUAACAGCUCCAGUUAAUUAUGUUGAAAGUCUUUACUUUUUCUCAUCCUGUUUCCAGGUACAGCAAGGAGGCCAGUGUGUUUGGUAUAGUGGCAGGAACUCAGUGAACAUUUCUUGAAUGAAUGAAGUUUCACUUUAUACUAGACUUUUGUGAGCACCAGUGUCAACAGAAGAGCCUCACUCUCACAGAUUCUGAUUCAGCAGGUCUUCAGGAGCCCCUGAAUUUGCUUCUAGGUGGUGCUGACAUGCUGGUUUUAGGACAUCGAUGCCACCUUGAGUAGCAUUGCUUUAGAUUGCAGUCUGUUCUCUAUAUUUUCUAACAUUUGAAAAUUUGAAUUAUGGCCCACGCUGAUGCCUGAUGGAAGAACACUUCUCUAUCUGGGAAGGUUGGCCCAAUAAGCAGAAGGACCUAAUGGGACACAAAAUAAGAAAGGGAUAUACUUUCAGACCAGCCAGGCAGAUCUGCCAAAUCCAGCCUGGCCACUGAUGAGCAUAGCAGAUGCCCUGGCCAGAUUGCUUUCACAUCCAGUCUGUACCUACUCUAUCCAGAUUGAGCUGACUGGCAUACAAUUCAUGCAUAUGAAUAGCUCCUACUCUGCAGGAUAUCCUAUAUGUAUUUGCAUAGAGUAAAAUUUGCAUUUACAUAUAGCACAUUUCUGCACAAGUAGAUAUUGCAAGGUCCAUGUAUACAUAUGGAAAGAAGUCUGGAAAGAUUGUGUGUGCUGAACCAGGGAUUAAGCUAAAUGUCUGUUGAGUAAACGAGGCUCUUUUGGGAAAAGAAAUGGUAGUGAGAAUUAGCAUGUAUGAAGCCUCCAUUAUGUACCAUGCACUGUUAAGAACCUUCACACACAUUGUCUCAAUCCUUA
Microcebus murinus (gray mouse lemur) is the source of this 1644-nucleotide non-coding RNA. The record is from RefSeq and is a predicted model, not a curated record. Lineage: Eukaryota; Metazoa; Chordata; Mammalia; Primates; Cheirogaleidae.